UAUUGUCCAACAAUACUCAAACACCAAAUAGAGACCCAACUGCCCCGACCAAUCCAACUCCAAUGAAAGAAAAUCCAAAUUCAGCCCGUACGACCCCCCUCCAGUGAGAACGUGAUUUCUCAGAAAAAGAAGCGAUAGGCACAGAUCGUUCUCCCAUCCCCUUGUCGUUUUCUUCGAGCUCUUUUCCCACAGUACUAUUGUAACAGACGCAAAACGUUCUUUGGCUCGAGAUCGAGCCACAUAUUCCCCCUAAGGACACCAAAUCGAUCGAAGACGUUCGUCCCUCUUUCCUCUUCAGGGAUAGAGCUGAAACCUCAGAAAAAGGUGUUGGUCUUUUUCGGUGAAAGAAUUCAAAUUUGUUGAAGAUGAGUUUUGAUCCGAAUUCGAUCCGUUUAUUUUAUUUAAAAAAAUGAAAACCCCAGUCAUUUUAUAUGUAUAAUCGCCUUGGUUCAUUUGGAAAAGGGGGGGAAUUUUUUUAAAAAGAAAUACAGAGGAGAAAAUUAUUUUUAGGAAAAAGAAAAAAAAAGAGCAAUUUUUUUGAGUUGUCGUUGGUUUGGAAAUUCUUGACAGAAUUUCUAGCAAGUUACUAAGAAUACGCUCAAAUAUAACUCCGAACAAAAAAUUCUUGGGUUUGUUGUCGAUUUCUUUGAUUACUGUUCGUAUCAUAAGUUUUUUUUUUCGUGGUAAAGUUCGUCAUCUUCUAUUCAUCGUCCCAGAGUCGCUGCCCGGAAAAGGAUGAAUUCGACACACGAGCCUUUGAAAACAAGAAUGAUUACUAUCACUGAUCCCUUCCUCAAAGUAUGGUGGAGGUUCAUGAACAACGACAAUAAAAUAAUCGUUCAGAAACACAUAGGUUACCUUCCAUCGCUGCUAGAGAUGAAUGCUUGACCUAGCCUAAUUGAGACGAUGGUGAAAUUCUGGGAUUGUGAGAACAUGGUCUUUCAGUUCGGGGAAGUGGAGUUGACGCCAACUAUAGAAGAAGUUCUUAUCAGCUAUGAAAGUGUCGCCAUGUGCAACAAAAGGAAACGACAUCCAGAUACAGAUCUCCUAAAUUUCAUAAUAUGAGAUUUCACCAAAAUUAGAGAAAAAUUGUCAUUGGUUAAAGCCGAGUGGAUGGAAAAGAUCCUUGGUCUAAAUAUAACCUUCAAAAAACUAUAUUAUCGGUUCGGGCGUGCAAGGGAUAAUGACAAAAAUUAAGACAAGUUCGUUUCAAAAGAAAAAUGGAAAAAGACACGUUCCCUCGCAUUUGCAAUAUGUUUGCUCGGAACGAUGGUUUUCCUUCGAGGACCAAAAUGUACUAUUCAUCUUAGUGUGUUUAUGGUGACUCAUGCCAUCUUCUAUAGAGUGAAUUAUAAAACAUCAACAAAUUACUACACUUUAGCACCUAUGAUUCUGGCCGACAUCUAUAGGGCUUAGACAAAUGUUAGAGCGGAGAACGCUUUUUUCAAGGGUGUAAUCUGAUACUACAGUGGUGGAUGAUGCGACAUUUGAUCAAAACUCAUAAUCCAAAAGAACCAGAUCCCCUAAGGCGGUCAAACGAGCUACAUGGUCAUGAUUGGUGGUUAUAUCACAAUCGUUGCAAUAAGACUGGAGGAUAGAGUUUUUGAUAUUCGAGGCUUCGAGAGCUGAGAGAAGAAGACGUACAAUGGUCAAUAGAUAGUUUGGUGGUAACUAAGAAUAUGGUGGUUCAAAUAGAAAAUGUCCCUUAUAAGGUAUUUGCUGGGUUAAGAGGGACUAGACCAUAUGCUCUCAAUCACGUUUUGAGACAACUAGGAGGGAAACAAGAGUUGCCCCAGAUUGCAUAUAUGAGGAAAUUUGCAACUGACCACGAGAAUGGACGAGUUGCGUUUGCUAAAGACAUGCAUAGGAUGUGGAGAUUUCGAAGAGUGUUGGUGAACUUGUACCAAACAUGUUUCGUCCAGAAUGUUCGAGGGAGUACAAAGAAUGGUUGAAAAAGAGUCUAAAUGGAACUAUUGAGCCUAGUCCAAACGUUCCUCACAUUAUUGCAGAUAUUGGAGCCCAACAUCAAGUCCGACUUCACCGACUUCAAGAGAAGUUUGAUAAAAAUAAAUUAGAGCAUCAACGUCGUCACUCAGAAGACGCCAAGUCAUAGCUCGAUUGAAACAAGAACUGCGAAGAGCCAGACAAUGCAUGGCAGAGUUGGAUGAUAGCAUGGAACAACAGAUUCAGUCGAUAGAGGGGUUCAUACAUCAAGAAGGAACUCGAUUGGUGAGAGAUCAUUUAUGGGCGAAAAAAUAUGCUAUGUGGGAAGAGGUCAACAUCGCCAAGAGGACCAGAAUUGACGAAGAAUCAGAGGAGGCUUGAAUUUUAUUUACCAUCCCCUGCGUGGGACUGCUUUAUUUGUACUUCAUUUUGUAAUUUGUUUUCAAAACUAUUUUUUUGUUUUAUGUUUAUAAGACAUUCUAGAUGUUAUUAAUGAAGUAUUUUGGGAAUAAAAUAUCGGGUUUAAAAA
Solanum lycopersicum (tomato) is the source of this 2473-nucleotide long non-coding RNA. RefSeq lists it as uncharacterized. The record is from RefSeq and is a predicted model, not a curated record. NCBI's taxonomy places the organism in Eukaryota, Viridiplantae, Streptophyta, Magnoliopsida, Solanales, Solanaceae.